This 448-nucleotide ribosomal RNA is filed under the name uncultured bacterium. RNAcentral's name for it is "bacterial SSU rRNA". It matches the Rfam family "Bacterial small subunit ribosomal RNA", at positions 355 to 825 of the family's 1533-position model. The record is from RNAcentral.
UGGGGAAUAUUGGACAAUGGGCGAAAGCCUGAUCCAGCCAUGCCGCGUGAGUGAUGAAGGCCUUAGGGUUGUAAUGCUCUUUUUGGCGGGGACGAUAAUGACGGUACCCGCAGAAUAAGCCCCGGCUAACUUCGUGCCAGCAGCCGCGGUAAUACGAAGGGGGCUGGCGUUGUUCGGAAUUACUGGGCGUAAAGCGCACGUAGGCGGAUCAGCAAGUCAGGGGUGAAAUCCCGGGGCUCAACCUCGGAACUGCCUCUGAUACUGCUAGUCUAGAGUCCGGAAGAGGUGGGUGGAAUUCCUAGUGUAGAGGUGAAAUUCGCAGAUAUUAGGAAGAACACCGGUGGCGAAGGCGGCCCACUGGUCCGGUACUGACGCUGAGGUGCGAAAGCGUGGGGAGCAAACAGGAUUAGAUACCCCAGUAGUCCCUGAGCGGGCUGGCAAGGCGCAU